Long non-coding RNA from Thunnus maccoyii (southern bluefin tuna), 1415 nucleotides. RefSeq lists it as uncharacterized. Lineage: Eukaryota; Metazoa; Chordata; Actinopteri; Scombriformes; Scombridae. The transcript is spliced from 6 exons. The record is from RefSeq and is a predicted model, not a curated record.
ACUGUAUGGACCCCACAGAGGACGGCUGUGUGAAAGCACUGAAACACACAAGCUGUCAACCAGGACAAUACAUCAGACAAAAAGGAACAGCUCUCAGGGACACUGAGUGCACUGACUGCAGUGAUGGAACAUUUUCAGAUGGGACAUUUACAUCUUGUCAACCACACACAAUGUGAAUCACGAAAUGCAGAAAAUGCAGACAUCCCCAUAGAGGAAACUGGAGAGGAAACACCAGAGAUGCUAAACAGAUGUCAAACAGUAUCAGGAACAUCUCCCACUGCAGAGUAAAUGUGAUCUAGAAUCCAGUUUACAAUCGGGCCUUGGAUGGGUGGAGCCGAUGUCAUUCGAGUACUAACUGGGAACACCAGGCCAGUGCCCCAGAAAGCAUUUAAACUCGCCUGCCCUGAUUCCACUCUCUCUCUGAUCCCUUCUCCACUCACCACGCUGUGGUUGUUUUUUGCGUUGCCUUUUUGGUUUUGUUUUGCACUGACAACACGCACCUCACAUUAUACAACACAUCCGCACACUUUCAACCACCACUGACACUGACUUCCACACCCCAUUGCAAUUAUUGUUAUUUACUUUAAUAAACUUUAGUUUAUUAUUGCGGAGUUUGGGUGUGCGUCUCCCUCCUUUGUUGUGGCCUGCGAGCCGGUCAUAACACUGACUAACAAAUACAACCUGGUCCAUCAGCUGUGAGGGCGAUCAUUUGGACAUGUGUUGGACUUUCUUAUCUCGAAGGGAAGAAGGAGCUUAAUACCAUUAUCGGCCGCUGGAACGCACUUCAGCAGGUGUGCUGCUGCUUAGAAACAUGGACCAACGUCUCAACAUCGUCCUUCUUGGAAACACAGGAGUUGGGAAAAGCGCUUCAGCAAACACCAUUUUAGGAUUGAAAGCCUUUAAAUCACAGCGGGCCUUCAAAUCAGUGACAAAGCAAUGCUCUGAAGCAGCUGGAAAUGUGUGCGGGAGACAGAUCUCAGUGAUCGAGACUCCAGGAAUAUCAUGUGCUGGUGAUGAAGAACAAAUUAAAAACAGCUGUCAGGAUGUCCUGCAGUCCGCCAGACCUUGUCUGUUUCUGGUAGUGAUUAAAAUCGAUCGAUUCACAGAUGAGCAAAAGCCGUGGAGGCAGCUGUCAGAGUCCUCGGGGAUCAGGGGUUGAAAAAGACUUAUAUGCUCACGUGAGGAAAUGCUUUAGAAGAAACGUCCCUAGAUGAGUUCAUCAAUGAUGAUAAUGAAAGUUUACUUCCAAACUUUGUUUCAGGAUUUAAGAUAUCAUCUAUUCAGCAAUGACAAUGGAGGACAGGACCAAAUCGAAGAGCUGCUGACAAAGUCAAGUCACCUAAGAACCCUGCAACAAGCUCCAGUGAUUGGUUGAUGCUCCAAGAACCAGAACCAGAACUGAUCCAGGACAAACU